UCGUUUACGGUAAUUCCAGCUCCAAUAGCGUAUAUUAAAGUUGUUGCAGUUAAAAAGCUCGUAGUUGAACUUUGGGCCCGGGCGGGCGGUCUACCUAUGGUAAGCACUGUUGCGGCCGGGUCUUUCCUUCUGGCUAGCCUCCCCUGUGGGCGGCGAACCAGGACGAUUACUUUGAGGAAAUUAGAGUGUUCAAAGCAGGCCUUUGCUCGAAUAUAUUAGCAUGGAAUAAUAGAAUAGGACGUAUGGUUCUAUUUUGUUGGUUUCUAGGACCAUCGUAAUGAUUAAUAGGGACGGUCGGGGGCAUCAGUAUUCAGUCGUCAGAGGUGAAAUUCUUGGAUUGACUGAAGACUAACUACUGCGAAAGCAUUUGCCAAGGACGUUUUCAUUAAUCAAGAACGAAAGUUAGGGGAUCGAAGAUGAUCAGAUACCGUCGUAGUCUUAACC
This 444-nucleotide ribosomal RNA is filed under the name Pichia norvegensis. RNAcentral's name for it is "SSU rRNA". It matches the Rfam family "Eukaryotic small subunit ribosomal RNA", at positions 571 to 1031 of the family's 1831-position model. The record is from RNAcentral. Lineage: Eukaryota; Fungi; Ascomycota; Pichiomycetes; Pichiales; Pichiaceae.